AAGGCCACCACCACCGCCAAGGCUAGGGCCUUGAAGCCGGGGUCUAGUGGGGCCAAGGAGGUCCGAGGUAAGGUUGAACACCUUUUCAAGGACAGCACUCCAAAGGCUCCUGAAGAGGGAGCUUCCCAAAGGCAGGAGAGGCCAAAAGAGCCUCGAGGGAAAGAGAAGGUCCCAGAGGAGGCGAAGAGAAGGAAGUUGGUGCACGUUACUAGCUCGUCCGAAAAAUUUGGGACAUCAGUGUCCCAUGAGGCCAAAUCUACAGGCGAGCCGAAGCUGCUCGCAUCUGCCUCCAAAGCCAUCAAGAUAGAAAUGGUCAGGAGGCUGAGGCUGAGGAGGCUAGGGAAGAGGCCGCGAGAAGGGUUGCUGAGGCUGUCGAGGAGGAGGCAGCUAAACAAAAGCCUGUUCGGGAAAAGGGGAAGUCCCCAAGCUUCCUAGCUGGAAGGGAGGAGACCUUGGCCCCAACCUUGGUGGAAGCUCUUCCUGGGGAGGUUCGAAGAGCCACUGAGAACUUUUACCGGUUCUGGACUGAC
This 530-nucleotide long non-coding RNA is filed under the name Olea europaea subsp. europaea. The record is from RNAcentral. Lineage: Eukaryota; Viridiplantae; Streptophyta; Magnoliopsida; Lamiales; Oleaceae.